This 347-nucleotide ribosomal RNA is filed under the name uncultured bacterium. RNAcentral describes it as "bacterial SSU rRNA". It matches the Rfam family "Bacterial small subunit ribosomal RNA", at positions 917 to 1267 of the family's 1533-position model. The record is from RNAcentral.
GGGCCCGCACAAGCGGUGGAGUAUGUGGUUUAAUUCGAUGCAACGCGAAGAACCUUACCUGGCCUUGACAUGUCCGGAAUCCUGCAGAGAUGCGGGAGUGCCUUCGGGAAUCGGAACACAGGUGCUGCAUGGCUGUCGUCAGCUCGUGUCGUGAGAUGUUGGUUAAGUCCCGCAACGAGCGCAACCCUUGUCCUUAGUUGCCAUCAUUCAGUUGGGCACUCUAGGGAGACCGCCGGUGACAAACCGGAGGAAGGUGGGGAUGACGUCAAGUCAUCAUGGCCUUAUGGCCAGGGCUACACACGUACUACAAUGGUGUAUACAGAGGGUCGCCAAGCCGCGAGGUGGAG